This 497-nucleotide ribosomal RNA is filed under the name uncultured bacterium. RNAcentral describes it as "partial 16S ribosomal RNA". It matches the Rfam family "Bacterial small subunit ribosomal RNA", at positions 28 to 507 of the family's 1533-position model. The record is from RNAcentral.
GAUGAACGCUGGCGGCGUGCCUAAUACAUGCAAGUCGAGCGAACGGACGAGAAGCUUGCUUCUCUGAUGUUAGCGGCGGACGGGUGAGUAACACGUGGAUAACCUACCUAUAAGACUGGGAUAACUUCGGGAAACCGGAGCUAAUACCGGAUAAUAUUUUGAACCGCAUGGUUCAAAAGUGAAAGACGGUCUUGCUGUCACUUAUAGAUGGAUCCGCGCUGCAUUAGCUAGUUGGUAAGGUAACGGCUUACCAAGGCAACGAUGCAUAGCCGACCUGAGAGGGUGAUCGGCCACACUGGAACUGAGACACGGUCCAGACUCCUACGGGAGGCAGCAGUAGGGAAUCUUCCGCAAUGGGCGAAAGCCUGACGGAGCAACGCCGCGUGAGUGAUGAAGGUCUUCGGAUCGUAAAACUCUGUUAUUAGGGAAGAAAAUAUGUGUAAGUAACUGUGCACAUCUUGACGGUACCUAAUCAGAAAGCAACGGCUAACUACGUG